GCCAAGUCCAGCGUCAUCUUGGCCUGUGUCAGCAAUGGUGUAGCCAGCAGGGCCAGGGAAGUGAUUGUCCCCCUGCACUUGGUACUGGUGAGGCUGCACC
This is a long non-coding RNA of Strigops habroptila (Kakapo), 100 nucleotides long. RefSeq lists it as uncharacterized. The record is from RefSeq and is a predicted model, not a curated record. Lineage: Eukaryota; Metazoa; Chordata; Aves; Psittaciformes; Psittacidae. The transcript is spliced from 3 exons.